GUUACCAGCUUUCUUUACAAAGCAUAUUAUUUUGUGUUUAACAAAGGAAAAAGAAAAACAAAAGAUUUCAAACAAGUGAAGGCUGAGUAAAUAAUGACAGACAUUUCAUUUUUGGGUGAACACCAAAAAUUAUUUUCCCCAAAGCUUGUCCUGGAGUCAUCUAAAUCAAUUUCUAGCAUGCAUUUUUUUUUUUUUUUUUUACUGAAGCUGACUCGGACAGCAUAAUAUUACUGGCAAUUAUGUCCUUAUUGGUUUUAUGAUAACAGAGCACUGUAGUGAACUGACAAGGACCAACAGAGGAAGCAUAUUGGCAGGGAACUGUUUAAGAACACACUGUAAUUUAUCAUAGGUCCCUCAUACUGUAACACUUGUGCAGGGGAGCAGUAUAGCAUCUUUAGAGUGGGUGUGUUGGAGGAAGAGAAAAAGAGAGAGAGAGGCAUAAGAGAGAGGGGGAGGAGGCGGGUGUGUGUGUGCUUGAAUGAGUGCGGGGGAGCAAGGGGAGGGACCGUUUCUGCGUCUGUCUUCGCUGUCAUUCUGCUGCUGCACAGCAAAGCAGCGAGACACUCCGCUGAAGGGAGGAGAGAGAAAGAGAGAGAAAAUGAGUGACUGGGUAGCACUAGAGCAGCUGCAACUGAGGCAGUCUAACUGAGAGGAGCCAGAUGCUGGAUUUACAUGCUAAAGACACCAGGCACACGGAUUACCUCUUCAGAACAGGAUCUACCGAAUGGUCUUUUUGCAUGUGCUAAUGGAGAGAUAGCUCUCCCUGUAAUAAGGAUUUGGCAGCAAGUGACAAAGCUUGCAGACCCUUGUCUCUUUCUUUGCUCGAUUGUAAAACCAUUUGACUCACUGAUGCUUUUACAUGGUUUCACGCAGGAGGAAUGCUUGGGGGUAGCCCAAGAAGACAAGGAGUAGAUCUGGAGACUGAGGCUGACAAACCCCCCAAAGCCAAGACCCUUCAGGGCCAGGCAGGAGCCAAAGGAGUUGGAGGCAUGGCUGCGAAAAGGGGCAAGUCAGGGCUCCCACAGGCUACUCCUCGGGCUGAGCUGAAGGUGUACCGAGCAGGGAACUCUGAGGGUCGUCUUCCAGUGCCUAGCAACUUGCGGAAACAAAAGUCCUUGACCAAUCUAUGCGUGCUUACAGAUGCCGAGAAGAAGAUGCACCUGUACCAGCCCAAGUGGUCAGACGACAUGGAAAAACCUGGGACAGGUCAGAACAAAUCAGGCAAGCUCAGAGAUCCCGGAGGGAGCAUUGGCAGGGGUAUCCCUCUUUCCAAGAACCUUUCAAAAUCGGAGCAUUCGCUGUUUCAGGGAAAGCCAAAACCCUUUAAUCCACCUUCCAGACUAGGGAAACCCAGUCGGAUACCUAAAAGUCCUUACGCUGAGGUCAAACCCAUCAGCAAGGCUCAAGAGCCGGCUGAUGACAGCAAGUCCGAUGAUGAGAUCUUGUCCAGCAAGGCUAAAGCUAAUGGUAAGAAAUCUUUGAGUGGUACUUCGGGAUCAGCCACCCCAGGAGGAGAUGGAGGUGGGAAAGAUGGACUGGAACCGGAGGAAGGUGACAAGACCUUUCUAAAGGUGGACCCCGAACUGGUUGUAACAGUGCUUGGGGACCUGGAGCAGCUCCUCUUCAGUCAAAUGUUGGAUCCCGAGUCCCAGAGGAAACGCACUGUUCAAAAUGUCCUCGACCUCCGGCAGAACCUGGAAGAGACCAUGUCCAGCUUACGGGGGUCCCAGCUUAGCCACAGGUAUGGAAGUCACACUUUUAGUGCUUGAAAAGGCCACAGAGUCUGUGCUGUGUCAGGAUUAUGACAUGUGCAUUUGUUUGUUUUAAUGUGUGUUUAUUUGUUUAUUUAUUGGGUUUUGUUUUGUUGCUUUGCUUUUGCUGUUUGUUUUGAUGCUUUUUAAUCUUUCAUUCAACUUUGUGUUUGAUUUUUUUAGCUUAUUAUUUUAUUUGUUUUUUUGUAAUCUUGUUUUUAGUUUGCUUUGUUUUAUGUUGUUUUCUUUUCCUUUGCUUCAAUGUUUAUUUUUCUCCAGUGUUUUAUGCUUUUUUGUUUUGUGUUUCUUUUCUUUAGAAUUUUCUUGGGUGCUUUUUUUAAACAUUUGUUUAACUUUGUGUUUGAUUUUUUGCAUAUCGUUUUUUAUUUAUUUAUUUUAUUUUGUUUUUUAUUUUGAUUUAUUUUGUGUGUGUGUGUUUUUGUUGUUUUCCUUUGCUUCAGUGUUUUAUGUUUUUUGUUUUGAGAUUCUUUUCUUUAGAAUUUUCUCGGGUGCUUUUUUAUCUUUUGUUUAACUUUGUGUUUGAUUUUUUGCUUACUGUUUUAUUUUGUUAUUUUGUUUUUAUUUUGCUUUAUUUUGUGUUGUUUUGUUUUGCUUGGAUUCAAUGUUUUUUUUUUCUCCAGUGUUUUUAUGCUUUUUGUUUUGUGUUUCUUUUCCUUAGAAUUUUUUGGGUGCUUUUUUAUGUUUUGUUCAACUUUUUGUUUGAUUUUUUUUUCUUGUUGUUUUAUUUUUUA
This is a long non-coding RNA of Danio rerio (zebrafish), 2503 nucleotides long. NCBI's taxonomy places the organism in Eukaryota, Metazoa, Chordata, Actinopteri, Cypriniformes, Danionidae. The record is from Ensembl.